AUUUCGGUAGUCUAAAGGCUUAGGACGCUCGCACGGAAUGCAAGAGAUCCGGGUUCGACUCCCGGCCGAGGCA
Molecule: non-coding RNA, 73 nt
Organism: Trachymyrmex septentrionalis
Lineage: Eukaryota; Metazoa; Arthropoda; Insecta; Hymenoptera; Formicidae
Source: Rfam